UACGUAGGGUGCGAGCGUUGUCCGGAAUUAUUGGGCGUAAAGGGCUCGUAGGCGGUUUGUCGCGUCGGGAGUGAAAACCUCGGGCUUAACUCGGGGCUUGCUUUCGAUACGGGCAGACUGGAGGUAUGCAGGGGAGAACGGAAUUCCUGGUGUAGCGGUGAAAUGCGCAGAUAUCAGGAGGAACACCGGUGGCGAAGGCGGUUCUCUGGGCAUUACCUGACGCUGAGGAGCGAAAGUGUGGGGAGCAAACAGG
This 253-nucleotide ribosomal RNA is filed under the name uncultured bacterium. RNAcentral describes it as "partial 16S ribosomal RNA". It matches the Rfam family "Bacterial small subunit ribosomal RNA", at positions 524 to 776 of the family's 1533-position model. The record is from RNAcentral.